Long non-coding RNA from Neofelis nebulosa (Clouded leopard), 866 nucleotides. RefSeq lists it as uncharacterized. The transcript is spliced from 3 exons. The record is from RefSeq and is a predicted model, not a curated record. NCBI's taxonomy places the organism in Eukaryota, Metazoa, Chordata, Mammalia, Carnivora, Felidae.
GCAGAAGCUUCUAGGGGUUUUCUGAGUUUAGGAGGUCAGGGCAUCAAUCCUGAGCUCAGGGGGUCAAGGAGUCACCGGUGACAUGGCCUGGACGGGGAACUAAGAAACUCAGGCCCAGAAGAAUUCCAGCUGUGUGCCGCCCACUUACCUGCCCCAACUGCCCGGGAUGGUUGGAGGUGAAGACGUAAGGCCUGACACCCGGCCCUGACAGGUGAAGAAAGAGAGCACGAAGGGGGGAGGAGCAGAGAGAGAGGGAGACCCAGAAUUCGAAGCGGGCUCCGGGCUCCGAGCUGUCAGCACAGAGUCUGACGCGGGGCUCGAACCCACGGACCGGGAGAUCAUGACCUGAGCUGAAAUCGGACACUUAACUGACAGAGCCACCCAGGCGCCCCAGACAGUUAUCUUCCCUUUUCCCUGCUUCCCCAUCACCUUCCCGGAACCCAGAGAUGCCCUGUUAGCCCUCCUCUCCCAGUCCAAAGAGCGGGUCUGCAGUUCCAGAAGGGCCUUGAGCAAAAAGCAUCCCAGCCAGGACUUCAAAUCUGCAUAAUUUAUCCACACACAGAGCCACUUCUGCAACCCAAGAUGCCACUCCUGAACGGCUGCCCAGAGAGCUCAUGCUGCCAAAUCUUUCAGAAGACGCCUCAUCACAGACCCACAGAGAGCAGGAGGACGCCCUGUGGCCGUAACCCUCAGCGUUCCUUCAUCCAGUCAGCCUGCUGCGAUCCAGCACUCAUGACGGCUCACAGAGGGCACAGGGGGUCCCUGAGGCAGCCUGGCGGCCCCUACCCUCAAGGGGCUUGUCAACUGGAUGGGACGCACACAGACAAGACACUGGAAAACUAUGAAAUGACACAGCAUAUGUCAAG